Molecule: long non-coding RNA, 726 nt
Filed under: Sus scrofa (pig)
Lineage: Eukaryota; Metazoa; Chordata; Mammalia; Artiodactyla; Suidae
Description: lncRNA (ENSSSCG00025015724.1, ENSSSCG00030024552.1)
Source: RNAcentral
AAGCCAUGACUAACUUCUUAUUUACCAAAGACUUCCCACUUUCCUUUUCCUUUCCUUAAAAGCCUUCUUCCUUUGCUGUGAUGACACUUGCAUGUGGCUCACCAUAAUUGCAGACCCCAAAUUGCAAUUCUCUGCCAAUCCUAAACAAACCCAACUUUACUAAAGAAAUUUCUGGUGGUCUAUUUCUUUAUACUUUUCAGACCUUCUGGACUGCUUGCUUUUAUAUAAGUUGUUUUGUGACUUCACUAACUAGCCAGGAGCUGAUGAAGCACUGGGUUGUGCAACCACAGAUUAAUUCUUGGACAGAUUUUUCUGCUUCACUACUUCUUUUGUGGGUGCCAAAAAUAAUUGCUGAUUGUGCCAAGUUGUGUCUUUAUCAGCUGUCAAAGAUCUCAGUGCACUGUCAUAUGGCAUCUAAGCACAUCAAACCACAACCAAAGCAAAGAAUAAAGAUGAGAGAAAGAGUGAAUUCUGAAACCAGUUCCAGUGUUUUCUGCUCAAAGCUCCAAGAGACAAUGUUGAAAACUCCCAUAAUUCGCGUCCUGGAGUAUUCUGAAUCAAUGCAACUGAUACUCUCUCCCAUAAUCACAGAGAAAAUGAGAACUCUAAGAAUCUAUCUCUGAAUCAAUUUCUGAAGUCUUUGACACAAUUUUCCCCAUCAUUGAGCAUAAUGGUGCCUGAAAUAUACAACUAGAGACGGACAAUAUAAAUUUGCAGUGUCUGGAG